This 625-nucleotide ribosomal RNA is filed under the name Serratia marcescens. RNAcentral describes it as "bacterial SSU rRNA". It matches the Rfam family "Bacterial small subunit ribosomal RNA", at positions 115 to 736 of the family's 1533-position model. The record is from RNAcentral. Lineage: Bacteria; Pseudomonadati; Pseudomonadota; Gammaproteobacteria; Enterobacterales; Yersiniaceae.
GUCUGGGAAACUGCCUGAUGGAGGGGGAUAACUACUGGAAACGGUAGCUAAUACCGCAUAACGUCGCAAGACCAAAGAGGGGGACCUUCGGGCCUCUUGCCAUCAGAUGUGCCCAGAUGGGAUUAGCUAGUAGGUGGGGUAAUGGCUCACCUAGGCGACGAUCCCUAGCUGGUCUGAGAGGAUGACCAGCCACACUGGAACUGAGACACGGUCCAGACUCCUACGGGAGGCAGCAGUGGGGAAUAUUGCACAAUGGGCGCAAGCCUGAUGCAGCCAUGCCGCGUGUGUGAAGAAGGCCUUCGGGUUGUAAAGCACUUUCAGCGAGGAGGAAGGUGGUGAACUUAAUACGUUCAUCAAUUGACGUUACUCGCAGAAGAAGCACCGGCUAACUCCGUGCCAGCAGCCGCGGUAAUACGGAGGGUGCAAGCGUUAAUCGGAAUUACUGGGCGUAAAGCGCACGCAGGCGGUUUGUUAAGUCAGAUGUGAAAUCCCCGGGCUCAACCUGGGAACUGCAUUUGAAACUGGCAAGCUAGAGUCUCGUAGAGGGGGGUAGAAUUCCAGGUGUAGCGGUGAAAUGCGUAGAGAUCUGGAGGAAUACCGGUGGCGAAGGCGGCCCCCUGGACGA